RNAcentral lists this ribosomal RNA (323 nucleotides) under Venturia inaequalis. RNAcentral describes it as "eukaryotic LSU rRNA". It matches the Rfam family "Eukaryotic large subunit ribosomal RNA", at positions 331 to 670 of the family's 3401-position model. The record is from RNAcentral. Lineage: Eukaryota; Fungi; Ascomycota; Dothideomycetes; Venturiales; Venturiaceae.
AGACCGAUAGCGAACAAGUAGAGUGAUCGAAAGAUGAAAAGCACUUUGAAAAGAGAGUUAAAAAGUACGUGAAAUUGUUGAAAGGGAAGCGCUUGCGGCCAGACUUGCCCGCGGUUGCUCAGCCCGCCUUUUGGCGGGUGCACUCUUCCGCGGUCAGGCCAGCAUCGGUUUGGGCGGUCGGAUAAAGGCGCCGGGAACGUGGCCUCCCCUCGGGGAGGUGUUAUAGCCCGGCGCGCAAUGCGGCCAGCCCGGACCGAGGUUCGCGCUUUGCUAGGAUGCUGGCGUAAUGGCCGUAAGCGGCCCGUCUUGAAACACGGACCAAG